RNAcentral lists this transfer RNA (67 nucleotides) under Marmota monax (woodchuck). RNAcentral describes it as "tRNA.Ala". Lineage: Eukaryota; Metazoa; Chordata; Mammalia; Rodentia; Sciuridae. The record is from RNAcentral.
GGUCGUAGUUCUGUGGUAGAGCGCUUGCCGCGCAUGCAUGAGGUCCUGGGUUCGAUCCUCAGCACCA